GUUGAACGCUGGCGGCAUGCCUUACACAUGCAAGUCGAACGGCAGCCCGUGUGCUUGCCCCUGGUGGCGAGUGGCGAACGGGUGAGUAAUACAUCGGCACAUGUCCUGUAGUGGGGGAUCGCCCGGCGAAAGCCGGAUUAAUACCGCAUACGCACUACGGCUGAAAUCGGGGGACCUUCGGGCCUCGCGCUCUGGGGUUGGCCGAUGGCUGAUUAGGUAGUUGGUGGGGUAAAGGCCUCCUAAGGCGGCGGUAAGUAGCUGGUAAGGGGGGACGACCAGCCACGCCGGGAAGGAGGGACGGCCACGAGUCCACUGGGAGGCAGCAGUUGGGAAUUUGGGAGGAAGGGCGAGAGAAUGAUGGAGCAAGGCGGCGUGUGUGAAGAAGGCAUUCGGGUUGUAAAGCACUUGUGUCCGGAAAGAAAAGUUUGGUCCGAAGACGGGCGGGAGAUGACGGUACCGGAAGAAGAAGCACCGGCUAACUACGUG
This 486-nucleotide ribosomal RNA is filed under the name uncultured bacterium. Its description in RNAcentral is "partial 16S ribosomal RNA". It matches the Rfam family "Bacterial small subunit ribosomal RNA", at positions 28 to 507 of the family's 1533-position model. The record is from RNAcentral.